AUAGACAAUAUAGAAGACAGCGCGCUAGCGGAUCUAGUCUGCUGUAUGUAUCUAUGGUCGGCACAUCUGGUAGCAUCUCUGGCUGUUUUUGACCUUGUUUUUGGAGUAAAACACGGUGGAAGCUGAAUUAGUGAGGAUGACUCCUGCUCCUGUCAUCUCUAAGCUCCUCACACAUCUUUACCUGCACAUGAGGAAAAUCACUCCUGUAGAAUGCAGUGGUUCAUCAGAACCUCUGGGGAUCCUGUGGAUUCUGUGGAUCCUGUGGGUUGCAGGGUGGGUCCUACCUAGACCAGGCUGAUCCUGGACCAUCCCACAGAUGCUCCAUCAGAUGUGGAUGUGGGGAGUGUGGAACCCAGAUGUUCAGAGGGAGAUGAUGCCACAUCUGGUCCAGCUGAUGGAAGGUCUUGAAGUUCUCUGACUGGCCUCGACUGAAGAUGGUCAUCUCACUGGAUUUAAGGUUCAGAUGCUCAGUAACAAACUCCACCAAUGAGCCAACAGGGAAGCUUUAGGUUUAUUAAAUGUUGCUAUGAAGGUAUCACUGUUUUUCUUUGUGAAUGCAAUGUGCUCCAACUGAAACUUGAAUUAGAACUUAGAAGUAAAUCCUUCCAUCUGAAAGGAUUUAGUUGCAUUAAUAACCUCAUAACAUUCUAAUUUUUAUUCCAGUCUUGGUUGGAAAUAGAAUCUCUGUAUUGAUUCAGGUAAAAACUGAACUUCACAGCAUGUUGGAGCAAAACAACCAGAUGAAAACUGUGAUGGUGUUGGAUUGUCAGACCGUAAUGUUGCAGCUCAAAGCAGCUUUUCUAUCUCAGUUCAUUCUGACAUUCAGCCAUGAAUCAACACAGCAGAUGGUGAUCCAUGCUGUGGAAGUCUCACAUCUCCUGAUUUAAUGGAGCUGCUUUGCACUUUUUACACUGUUUAUUCACCAACUCUUUAUUUAAUAAAAGUCCCAUCUAGUUUUUAUGAGGAAUGUGAUGUUUUAAUUUCUCUGUAAAUAACUGCAGUCUAAUGCAACAGCUGGAGUUGUAACAUCUGUCCUGA
Long non-coding RNA from Amphiprion ocellaris (clown anemonefish), 1038 nucleotides. RefSeq lists it as uncharacterized. NCBI's taxonomy places the organism in Eukaryota, Metazoa, Chordata, Actinopteri, Pomacentridae. The record is from RefSeq and is a predicted model, not a curated record. The transcript has 4 exons.